Molecule: ribosomal RNA, 529 nt
Filed under: uncultured bacterium
Lineage: Bacteria
Description: bacterial SSU rRNA
Rfam family: Bacterial small subunit ribosomal RNA
Source: RNAcentral
AGUGGGGAAUCUUCCGCAAUGGACGGAAGUCUGACGGAGCAACGCCGCGUGGGUGAUGAAGGUUUUCGGAUUGUAAAGCCCUGUCUGGAGGGAAGAAAUAUUGACGGUACCUCCGGAGGAAGCCCCGGCUAACUACGUGCCAGCAGCCGCGGUAAUACGUAGGGGGCAAGCGUUGUCCGGAAUUACUGGGCGUAAAGAGCACGUAGGCGGUCUUUUAAGUCAGAUGUGAAAUAUGCCGGCUCAACCGGGAGGGUGCAUUUGAUACUGGGAGACUAGAGUGCAGGAGAGGAAAGUGGAAUUCCUAGUGUAGCGGUGAAAUGCGUAGAUAUUAGGAGGAACACCAGUGGCGAAGGCGGCUUUCUGGACUGUAACUGACGCUGAGGUGCGAAAGCCAGGGGAGCAAACGGGAUUAGAUACCCCGGUAGUCCUGGCCGUAAACGAUGGGUACUAGGUGUAGGAGGUAUCGACCCCUUCUGUGCCGCAGUUAACACAAUAAGUACCCCGCCUGGGGAGUACGGCCGCAAGGCUG